This 546-nucleotide long non-coding RNA is filed under the name Brassica rapa (field mustard). RNAcentral's name for it is "long non-coding RNA (BRAP_LNC000714)". Lineage: Eukaryota; Viridiplantae; Streptophyta; Magnoliopsida; Brassicales; Brassicaceae. The record is from RNAcentral.
CUUCUUCCUUUCGUGGCGACCCACAUAAUACUUCUCUAUUCAAUCAAAAGUGUUUUGGUGGGUUAAUAAGAACAAAAACCAUGGAAUUAAAUAAGCAUAUAAUUUCAUUUAUUUGUAUAUUUUAAUCCUUAAUGUAACGAGGCAAUGGAACAUUCAAGCUUUACAUAUAGCUUAUUGCAUAAUGUAUACCUGUCCAUCUAAAUAAUUUAUUUCGAAAUUUGUCGUCAUCGAUAUAUAUGCACGUAUUGGUAUAGAUCAUUGCAACGGUUUAGUUGUUAAUAACUGUAUGUAUGAAAGCCUUUUUUCAAAAAAAAAAAAAAAAAAAAAAACUGUAUGUCUGUAUUGAUAUAAAAGCCAAGAUUGGCGCUUAAUAACAUGAUAAAAAAAUUAAGAAAUGUAAAUACUGAAAUAGUCCGCUUAAUAACAUGAUAACAAAAUUAAGAAAUGUAAAUACUGAAAUAGUCGUGACGACCAAAUUUACAGGAUUUUCUUUCUAAUGGAAAAUCUUGGAGGCAGUGCCGUGCGAAGAGUUUUAGGGGCUUAAGG